GAUGAACGCUGGCGGCGUGCCUAAUACAUGCAAGUCGAGCGAACGGACGAGUAGCUUGCUUCUCUGAUGUUAGCGGCGGAUGGGUGAGUAACACGUGGAUAACCUACCUAUAAGACUGGGAUAAUUUCGGGAAACCGGAGCUAAUACCGGAUCAUAUUUUGAACCGCAUGGUUAAAAAGUGAAAGACGGUCUUGCUGUCACUUAUCGAUGGAUCCGCGCUGCAUUAGCUAGUUGGUAAGGUAACGGCUUACCAAGGCAACGAUGCAUAGCCGACCUGAGAGAGUGGUCGGCCACACGGGAGCUGAGACACGGUCCAGACUCCUACGGGAGGCAGCAGUAGGGAAUCUGCCGCAAUGGGCGAAAGCCUGACGGAGCAACGCCGCGUGAGUGAUGAAGGUCUUCGGAUCGUAAAACUCUGUUAUUAGGGAAGAACAUAUGUGUAAGUAACUGUGCACAUCUUGACGGUACCUAAUCAGAAAGCCACGGCUAACUACGUG
This 497-nucleotide ribosomal RNA is filed under the name uncultured bacterium. Its description in RNAcentral is "partial 16S ribosomal RNA". It matches the Rfam family "Bacterial small subunit ribosomal RNA", at positions 28 to 507 of the family's 1533-position model. The record is from RNAcentral.